GAUGAACGCUAGCGACAGGCUUAACACAUGCAAGUCGAGGGGCAGCAUGAGGUAGCAAUACCUUGAUGGCGACCGGCGCACGGGUGAGUAACGCGUAUGCAACCUGCCCGAUACCGGGGUAUAGCCCAUGGAAACGUGGAUUAACACCCCAUAGUACUUUUAUCCUGCAUGGGAUGUGAGUUAAAUGUUCAAGGUAUCGGAUGGGCAUGCGUCCUAUUAGUUAGUUGGCGGGGUAACAGCCCACCAAGACGAUAAUAGGUAGGGGUUCUGAGAAGAAGGUACCCCACAUUGGAACUGGGAAACGAUCCAAACUCCUACGGGAGGCAGCAGUAAGGAAUAUUGGUCAAUGUACGUAAGUCUGAACCAGCCAAGUCGCGUGAGGGAAGACUGCCCUAUGGGUUGUAAACCUCUUUUAUAAGGGAAGAAUAAGUUCUACGUGUAGAAUGAUGCCUGUACCUUAUGAAUAAGCAUCGGCUAACUCCGUGCCAGCCGCCGCAGUAA
Molecule: ribosomal RNA, 501 nt
Filed under: uncultured bacterium
Lineage: Bacteria
Description: partial 16S ribosomal RNA
Rfam family: Bacterial small subunit ribosomal RNA
Source: RNAcentral